UUAACCAUCAUUCUUUUACAGCUUUUUAUUUAUUUAAUCAUCUAUGAUUAUUUGUUAAGACAUUGCAGAACAUUCUCUGAUUAUUAUUAAGGGAGAGUUUGGAUCUAAAAGUUAGGUAAUAAUCACCAGGUUUAAGAGGAUAUUGCAACAGGAAAUUAAGGAAAAAAGAUGCUUUAUUAUUAUUUGCUAUACAUUUAUGCUAUAAUUUUCAUGUACAAGUAUAUCUAUAUCAUCACUACAAAAUUUUGAUCCUCAUACAUAAAAGUUCAACUAAUUGUUGAGGACAUUAAGAAGUGAGACUCUGAUUUUAAUAAGACGCCUAAAUAGAAACUCAAGUCCUUCUUCAAGGUCUUGAAUGCAUGAUUCUGUUUUCUCCAAAUGGUUUUGCAGAUCAUUGAUGGCUUCAAGUUUUCUAGUUUUG
RNAcentral lists this long non-coding RNA (421 nucleotides) under Trifolium pratense (red clover). Its description in RNAcentral is "long non-coding RNA (TPRA_LNC007151)". The record is from RNAcentral. Lineage: Eukaryota; Viridiplantae; Streptophyta; Magnoliopsida; Fabales; Fabaceae.